GUAGGGAAUUUUCGGCAAUGGGGGAAACCCUGACCGAGCAACGCCGCGUGAAGGAAGAAGGUUUUCGGAUUGUAAACUUCUGUUAUGAAGGAAGAACGGCGGCUACAGGAAAUGGUAGCCGAGUGACGGUACUUUAUUAGAAAGCCACGGCUAACUACGUGCCAGCAGCCGCGGUAAUACGUAGGUGGCAAGCGUUAUCCGGAAUUAUUGGGCGUAAAGAGGGAGUAGGCGGCAGCAAGGGUCUGUGGUGAAAGCCUGAAGCUUAACUUCAGUAAGCCAUAGAAACCAGGCAGCUAGAGUGCAGGAGAGGAUCGUGGAAUUCCAUGUGUAGCGGUGAAAUGCGUAGAUAUAUGGAGGAACACCAGUGGCGAAGGCGACGAUCUGGCCUGCAACUGACGCUCAGUCCCGAAAGCGUGGGGAGCAAAUAGGAUUAGAAACCCUUGUAGUCC
Molecule: ribosomal RNA, 449 nt
Filed under: uncultured bacterium
Lineage: Bacteria
Description: partial 16S ribosomal RNA
Rfam family: Bacterial small subunit ribosomal RNA
Source: RNAcentral